RNAcentral lists this ribosomal RNA (490 nucleotides) under uncultured bacterium. RNAcentral's name for it is "partial 16S ribosomal RNA". It matches the Rfam family "Bacterial small subunit ribosomal RNA", at positions 30 to 507 of the family's 1533-position model. The record is from RNAcentral.
AUUGAACGCUGGCGGCAUGCCUUACACAUGCAAGUCGAACGGCAGCAUGAUCUAGCUUGCUAGAUUGAUGGCGAGUGGCGAACGGGUGAGUAAUACAUCGGAACGUGCCCUGUAGUGGGGGAUAACUAGUCGAAAGAUUAGCUAAUACCGCAUACGACCUGAGGGUGAAAGUGGGGGACCGCAAGGCCUCAUGCUAUAGGAGCGGCCGAUGUCUGAUUAGCUAGUUGGUGAGGUAAAGGCUCACCAAGGCGACGAUCAGUAGCUGGUCUGAGAGGACGAUCAGCCACACUGGGACUGAGACACGGCCCAGACUCCUACGGGAGGCAGCAGUGGGGAAUUUUGGACAAUGGGCGAAAGCCUGAUCCAGCAAUGCCGCGUGUGUGGAGAAGGCCUUCGGGUUGUAAAGCACUUUUGUCCGGAAAGAAAUGGCUCUGGUUAAUACCUGGGGUCGAUGACGGUACCGGAAGAAUAAGGACCGGCUAACUACGUG